UACACUCCUGCGGGAGGCAGCAGUGGGGAAUAUUGGACAAUGGGCGCAAGCCUGAUCCAGCCAUGCCGCGUGAGUGAUGAAGGCCCUAGGGUUGUAAAGCUCUUUCACCGGUGAAGAUAAUGACGGUAACCGGAGAAGAAGCCCCGGCUAACUUCGUGCCAGCAGCCGCGGUAAUACGAAGGGGGCUAGCGUUGUUCGGAUUUACUGGGCGUAAAGCGCACGUAGGCGGACUAUUAAGUCAGGGGUGAAAUCCCGGGGCUCAACCCCGGAACUGCCUUUGAUACUGGUAGUCUUGAGUUCGAGAGAGGUGAGUGGAAUUCCGAGUGUAGAGGUGAAAUUCGUAGAUAUUCGGAGGAACACCAGUGGCGAAGGCGGCUCACUGGCUCGAUACUGACGCUGAGGUGCGAAAGCGUGGGGAGCAAACAGGAUUAGAUACCCGUGUAGUCCCAUGA
Molecule: ribosomal RNA, 452 nt
Filed under: uncultured organism
Description: partial 16S ribosomal RNA
Rfam family: Bacterial small subunit ribosomal RNA
Source: RNAcentral